Molecule: ribosomal RNA, 484 nt
Filed under: uncultured bacterium
Lineage: Bacteria
Description: partial 16S ribosomal RNA
Rfam family: Bacterial small subunit ribosomal RNA
Source: RNAcentral
AUUGAACGCUGGCGGCAGGCCUAACACAUGCAAGUCGAGCGGAUGAAGGGAGCUUGCUCCUGGAUUCAGCUGCGGACGGGUGAGUAAUGCCUAGGAAUCUGCCUGGUCGUGGGGGAUAACGUCCGGAAACGGGCGCUAAUACCGCAUACGUCCUGAGUGAGAAAGUGGGGGAUCUUCGGACCUCACGCUAUCAGAUGAGCCUAGGUCGGAUUAGCUAGUUGGUGGGGUAAAGGCCUACCAAGGCGACGAUCCGUAACUGGUCUGAGAGGAUGAUCAGUCACACUGGAACUGAGACACGGUCCAGACUCCUACGGGAGGCAGCAGUGGGGAAUAUUGGACAAUGGGCGAAAGCCUGAUCCAGCCAUGCCGCGUGUGUGAAGAAGGUCUUCGGAUUGUAAAGCACUUUAAGUUGGGAGGAAGGGCAGUAAGUUAAUACCUUGCUGUUUUGACGUUACCAACAGAAUAAGCACCGGCUAACUUCGUG